GAUGAACGCUGGCGGCGUGCCUAAUACAUGCAAGUCGAGCGAACAGACGAGGAGCUUGCUCCUCUGACGUUAGCGGCGGACGGGUUAGUAACACGUUGAUAACCUACCUAUAAGACUGGGAUAACUUCGGGAAACCGGAGCUAAUACCGGAUAAUAUAUUUAACCGCAUGGUUCAAUAUUGAAAGACGGUUUUGCUGUCACUUAUAGAUGGAUCCGCGCCGCAUUAGCUAGUUGGUAAGGUAACGGCUUACCAAGGCGACGAUGCGUAGCCGACCUGAGAGGGUGAUCGGCCACACUGGAACUGAGACACGGUCCAGACUCCUACGGGAGGCAGCAGUAGGGAAUCUUCCGCAAUGGGCGAAAGCCUGACGGAGCAACGCCGCGUGAGUGAUGAAGGUCUUCGGAUCGUAAAACUCUGUUAUUAGGGAAGAACAAAUGUGUAAGUAACUAUGCACGUCUUGACGGUACCUAAUCAGAAAGCCACGGCUAACUACGUG
Molecule: ribosomal RNA, 497 nt
Filed under: uncultured bacterium
Lineage: Bacteria
Description: partial 16S ribosomal RNA
Rfam family: Bacterial small subunit ribosomal RNA
Source: RNAcentral